Long non-coding RNA from Leopardus geoffroyi (Geoffroy's cat), 1458 nucleotides. RefSeq lists it as uncharacterized. Lineage: Eukaryota; Metazoa; Chordata; Mammalia; Carnivora; Felidae. The record is from RefSeq and is a predicted model, not a curated record. The transcript has 3 exons.
AAAACACAAAAAAUUGGAGGGAAUCUGCUGUUGAGAAAGAAAAGUAAUCCCACAUAUACUUAGGAAGAAACAUCUAAUUCCAGAACCUCAGAAAUGCCGCAAUUCCUAUUUUAUUGACAAUUUAACAAAUGGUAUUUCUCUGAAGUCAAUAACAACUUUAUGUAGAAAACUGUUUUGAUUAGCUGACUAGAAAGUAAGCACUUGAUUAUUACUGGUAUUUCUGGCUGCAUCCUGCGCCAGGCAAGGGGCCAGAACUAUUUUAGGUGCAGUCCCUCCAGAUGAUGGAAUUCAUGCCAUGAAAAUGGCCAGAAGGGAACCAACUGGAAGCUGAAGCUUUGGUUGUUCGUAUUAGAGAAGGCAGCUGCUCUGGGCUGAGAUGACCAGCCAACAGUCUGCAGACCCUUUGGACAGGAAAUUGUUCAAAUAGACAAGAGGCUCAUAGCCCAAGGCUCUCAAUUUCCCUCUGACUCAUGUGUGUCCAUGAGGCACACAGCACUCCUUACGAUGUGAGUUUUAAAGGAGAAAGGAGGAGGAGAAAUCUCACUGCAAAGACCCUGAAGUGAGAUGGGAGAAAUAGCUCCGCUUCUAAGAACAGCAAAGGUGAAAACGUCAGGCAGGGGAUGAGAAACAAGAGGGUGGCUCAGAAAACGGGGAGUGACCUGAUUCUUCAUCUUGGCGCACAUGCAGUUUUCCUGUUCCUGGCACAUCCACAAAGAAGACAGAAAACGGUACACAAACUUGGCCUUGUCUGGCAGUUGUGGUUUACCAGCCAUGUUAAAUUCAGACCCCUCUGAGCAGCUUUUCUCCCUCAGAGAGCUUUCUAUCCUCAGAGGAAAACAGAAUUACGUGCAACAUCAUUAAAUGGCCCUUCUCAUGGAAUUUGGAGUUCCAUUUUACCUCAUCUUGCAGCAAAAAUGUCUUCUAAGUACUUUGACUCUUGGAAUAGUGCUUUUUUCUGCAUUGAGGACAGCAGCCAGACCAAAAGAGCCUUCUUUACGUGGAAUCCGCCUUGCCUUUACCUUGACAAAGGAAUGCAUUAAAGAUGCUUUUGACUACUGCAUCACCUGGAGUGAAGGGAGAAGAAAAUCAGCUACCUGGUGUAUCUCUGCUAUUCCCCAGAAACUGUUCCAGUCUCACCCUCCGUCUCCUCCUUCAAUCCCACUUCUGAGCAAAAAACUUCUCACGCACCAGGGUCCUUAACACCACGAGUAGGAUCCAUGACUUCCCAUUGCUUCUCCUAGGAUACCAAAGGGCGCCCCUGCCCUAAACCAAAAAAAGUCUUCAGUCACUUGUAGGUUACUUUCAAACUGAGACAAGUCGUUGUAUGUGGCUCAUGCAGACCGUGAAGAACUGAAGGAAGAGUGAAAUGUUGAAGAGCUGGAGGAAGAAUCACUGUACCCUGACUUGUGUGACACUGUGGAUGAGCUGGGGGAUGGUCCCCAAAGCUUAAUCAAGAAG